CGACGUGAGGAACCUGCCUUUCAGAGGGGGACAACAGUUGGAAACGACUGCUAAUACCGCAUAAUGCAUAGGUAUCGCAUGGUACAGAUGCCAAAGAUUUAUCGCUGAGAGAUGGCCUCGCGUCUGAUUAGCUAGUUGGUAGGGUAACGGCCUACCAAGGCGACGAUCAGUAGCCGGACUGAGAGGUUGGCCGGCCACAUUGGGGACUGAGAUACGGCCCAGACUCCUACGGAAGGCAGCAG
This 242-nucleotide ribosomal RNA is filed under the name uncultured bacterium. RNAcentral's name for it is "partial 16S ribosomal RNA". It matches the Rfam family "Bacterial small subunit ribosomal RNA", at positions 113 to 354 of the family's 1533-position model. The record is from RNAcentral.